GACGAACGCUGGCGGCGUGCUUAACACAUGCAAGUCGAACGAUGAACCGGUUUCGGCCGGGGAUUAGUGGCGAACGGGUGCGUAACACGUGGGCAAUCUGCCCUGCACUCUGGGAUAAGCCCGGGAAACUGGGUCUAAUACCGGAUACGACACUCCGAGGCAUCUUGGGGUGUGGAAAGUUCCGGCGGUGCAGGAUGAGCCCGCGGCCUAUCAGCUUGUUGGUGGGGUAAUGGCCUACCAAGGCGACGACGGGUAGCCGGCCUGAGAGGGUGACCGGCCACACUGGGACUGAGACACGGCCCAGACUCCUACGGGAGGCAGCAGUGGGGAAUAUUGCACAAUGGGCGAAAGCCUGAUGCAGCGACGCCGCGUGAGGGAUGACGGCCUUCGGGUUGUAAACCUCUUUCAGCAGGGAAGAAGCGAAAGUGACGGUACCUGCAGAAGAAGCACCGGCUAACUACGUG
RNAcentral lists this ribosomal RNA (464 nucleotides) under uncultured bacterium. Its description in RNAcentral is "partial 16S ribosomal RNA". It matches the Rfam family "Bacterial small subunit ribosomal RNA", at positions 28 to 507 of the family's 1533-position model. The record is from RNAcentral.